RNAcentral lists this ribosomal RNA (303 nucleotides) under Triticum aestivum (bread wheat). Its description in RNAcentral is "partial small subunit ribosomal RNA". The record is from RNAcentral. Lineage: Eukaryota; Viridiplantae; Streptophyta; Magnoliopsida; Poales; Poaceae.
AUGGCAGAGUCGACGGCGAGCAUCGGCGGGUACAUGGCGUCGGGGUACCGGAGGGUGGCCGGCGUGCAGCUCUCCAUCAACCACCUCAAGCCCGCCCGCCUCGGCGACCGCAUCGAGGCCAAGGCGAACCCCCAUCCGGACCAGCUGCUGGACGCGGUGCACUGGAUCCGGCAGGCGGUGGGGCUCGCCUGCGGCCUGCUCUGGAGCGCCGCCCCCCUCGUCGGCGCCUUCUGGAUCGCCCUGUCAGUCCCUCCCUCCCUCCAUCCUCAAAGCCCCAACCUUCUUCUUUCCCUUCAGACAUAG